AGUGAACGCUGGCGGUAGGCCUAAUACAUGCAAGUCGAACGGAAAGACAGUAAGAUUUCGCCUUUACGGGUGGCGAGUGGCGGAUGGGUAAGGAAUGGAUCGGAUUCUACUUUUUCGUGGGGAAUAACGGGGGGCAAGUGCCACUAUCACCUAAUACAUCCUACGGGUGAGAUCAGUGGUGAUAGGCACUUUGCCCGUUACAUUUAGCCGGUGCCGCAUUAGCUAGUUGGCGGGGUAACGGCUCACCAAGCCGACGAUACGUAGCCGGGCUGAGAGGGUGAUCAGCCACACUGGAACUGAGACACGGUCCAGACUCCUACGGGAGGCAGCAGUGGGGAAUAUUCGGCAAUGGGCGAAAGCCUGACGCAGCAAUACCGCGUGAGUGAAGAAGGUCUUCGGAUCGUAAAGCCCUUUUGUUGGGGAAGAACAGCUGUAGGUUUAUAUACCGCUGUUCUGACGGUACCUAAAGAGAAAGCACCGGCUAACUACGUG
This 492-nucleotide ribosomal RNA is filed under the name uncultured bacterium. Its description in RNAcentral is "partial 16S ribosomal RNA". It matches the Rfam family "Bacterial small subunit ribosomal RNA", at positions 29 to 507 of the family's 1533-position model. The record is from RNAcentral.